GCGAACGCUGGCGGCAGGCCUAACACAUGCCAAGUCGAACGAACUCUUCGGAGUUAGUGGCGGACGGGUGAGUAACACGUGGGAACGUGCCUUUAGGUUCGGAAUAACUCAGGGAAACUUGUGCUAAUACCGAAUGUGCCCUUCGGGGGAAAGAUUUAUCGCCUUUAGAGCGGCCCGCGUCUGAUUAGCUAGUUGGUGAGGUAAAGGCUCACCAAGGCGACGAUCAGUAGCUGGUCUGAGAGGAUGAUCAGCCACAUUGGGACUGAGACACGGCCCAAACUCCUACGGGAGGCAGCAGUGGGGAAUCUUGCGCAAUGGGCGAAAGCCUGACGCAGCCAUGCCGCGUGAAUGAUGAAGGUCUUAGGAUUGUAAAAUUCUUUCACCGGGGACGAUAAUGACGGUACCCGGAGAAGAAGCCCCGGCUAACUUCGUGCCAGCAGCCGCGGUAAUACGAAGGGGGCUAGCGUUGCUCGGAAUUACUGGGCGUAAAGGGAGCGUAGGCGGACAUUUAAGUCAGGGGUGAAAUCCCGGGGCUCAACCUCGGAAUUGCCUUUGAUACUGGGUGUCUUGAGUAUGAGAGAGGUGUGUGGAACUCCGAGUGUAGAGGUGAAAUUCGUAGAUAUUCGGAAGAACACCAGUGGCGAAGGCGACACACUGGCUCAUUACUGACGCUGAGGCUCGAAAGCGUGGGAGCAAACAGGAUUAGAUACCCUGGUAG
Molecule: ribosomal RNA, 718 nt
Filed under: uncultured Brevundimonas sp.
Lineage: Bacteria; Pseudomonadati; Pseudomonadota; Alphaproteobacteria; Caulobacterales; Caulobacteraceae
Description: bacterial SSU rRNA
Rfam family: Bacterial small subunit ribosomal RNA
Source: RNAcentral